GACGAACGCUGGCGGCGUGCUUAACACAUGCAAGUCGAACGGAAAGGCCCUGCUUUUGUGGGGUGCUCGAGUGGCGAACGGGUGAGUAACACGUGAGUAACCUGCCCUUUACUUUGGGAUAACUUCAGGAAACUGGGGCUAAUACCGGAUAGGAGCUCCUGCUGCAUGGUGGGGGUUGGAAAGUUUCGGCGGUUGGGGAUGGACUCGCGGCUUAUCAGCUUGUUGGUGGGGUAGUGGCUUACCAAGGCUUUGACGGGUAGCCGGCCUGAGAGGGUGACCGGCCACAUUGGGACUGAGAUACGGCCCAGACUCCUACGUGAGGCAGCAGUGGGGAAUAUUGCACAAUGGGCGGAAGCCUGAUGCAGCAACGCCGCGUGCGGGAUGACGGCCUUCGGGUUGUAAACCGCUUUCGCAUGUGACGAGGCGUGAGUGACGGUAAUGGGUAAAGAAGCACCGGCUAACUACGUG
RNAcentral lists this ribosomal RNA (468 nucleotides) under uncultured bacterium. Its description in RNAcentral is "partial 16S ribosomal RNA". It matches the Rfam family "Bacterial small subunit ribosomal RNA", at positions 28 to 507 of the family's 1533-position model. The record is from RNAcentral.